AGUGAACGCUGGCGGUAGGCCUAACACAUGCAAGUCGAACGGCAGCACAGUAAGAGCUUGCUCUUACCGGUGGCGAGUGGCGGACGGGUGAGGAAUACAUCGGAAUCUACUUUUUCGUGGGGGAUAACGUAGGGAAACUUACGCUAAUACCGCAUACGACCUACGGCUGAAAGCAGGGGAUCUUCGGACCUUUCGCGAUUGAAUGAGACGAUGUCGGAUUAGCUAGUUGGCGGGGUAAAGGCCCACCAAGGCGACGAUCCGUAGCUGGUCUGAGAGGAUGAUCGGCCACACUGGAACUGAGACACGGUCCAGACUCCUACGGGAGGCAGCAGUGGGGAAUAUUGGACAAUGGGCGAAAGCCUGAUCCAGCCAUACCGCGUGGGUGAAGAAGGCCUUCGGGUUGUAAAGCCCUUUUGUUGGGAAAGAAAAGCAGCAGGUUAAUACCCCGCUGUUCUGACGGUACCCAAAGAAUAAGCACCGGCUAACUUCGUG
RNAcentral lists this ribosomal RNA (492 nucleotides) under uncultured bacterium. RNAcentral describes it as "partial 16S ribosomal RNA". It matches the Rfam family "Bacterial small subunit ribosomal RNA", at positions 29 to 507 of the family's 1533-position model. The record is from RNAcentral.